Molecule: non-coding RNA, 378 nt
Organism: Danio rerio (zebrafish)
Lineage: Eukaryota; Metazoa; Chordata; Actinopteri; Cypriniformes; Danionidae
Source: RefSeq, a predicted model, not a curated record
GAGAUCAGGAUCAUGUGUGUCCAGCUCUGUGUCUCUGAAGAGUGACUGGUCUAAAGGUGAUGUUCCUCCAGACCUCAGUGAGAAAACACCAUCAUCAGUCAAAAGUGUGAGAUCAGGAUCAUGUGUGUCCAGCUCUGUGUCUCUGAAGAGUGACCGGUCAAUGAAUCAUCCACCACCAGACCUCAGAGAGAAAACACCAUCAUCUGCCAGAAGACACCUAGUGGCAGAUUUAGUUUCUUAUUCAGACAAUCUCCAGUGGAUCUUCCAGAAUCUUGAGAGUAAAAUGAUCAGAUUUCUGAACAAUCAACUGGAAAACUUUAGGAAAAUCUUACAAGACAAAAACAGAAAACAGUUUGUAAAGGAGUUUAAUGAGGACAG